GACGAACGCUGGCGGCGUGCCUAAUACAUGCAAGUAGAACGCUGAAGCUUGGUGCUUGCACCGCUCGGGUGAGUUGCGAACGGGUGAGUAACGCGUAGGUAACCUGCCUGGUAGCGGGGGAUAACUAUUGGAAACGGUAGCUAAUACCGCAUAAUAUUAUAUGUUGCAUGACAUUUUCUUAAAAGGUGCAAUUGCUUCACUACCAGAUGGACCUGCGUUGUAUUAGCUAGUUUGUGAGGUAACGGCUCACCAAGGCAACGAUACAUAGCCGACCCUGGAGGGUGGACGGCCACACUGGGAAUGAGACAAGGCCCAGAAUCCUAAGGGAGGCAGCAGUAGGGGAUCUUCGGCAAAGGACGGAAGGCUGAACGAGCAAAGCCGCGGGAGGGAAGGAGGGUUUCGGAUUGUAAAGCUCUGUUGUAUGAGAAGAACGAGUGUGAGAGUGGAAAGUUCACACUGUGACGGUAUCUAACCAGAAAGGGACGGCUAACUACGUG
RNAcentral lists this ribosomal RNA (497 nucleotides) under uncultured bacterium. RNAcentral's name for it is "partial 16S ribosomal RNA". It matches the Rfam family "Bacterial small subunit ribosomal RNA", at positions 28 to 507 of the family's 1533-position model. The record is from RNAcentral.